GAUGAACGCUGGCGGCGUGCUUAACACAUGCAAGUCGAACGGAAAGGCCCAAGCUUGCUUGGGUACUCGAGUGGCGAACGGGUGAGUAACACGUGGGUGAUCUGCCCUGCACUUCGGGAUAAGCCUGGGAAACUGGGUCUAAUACCGGAUAGGACCACUUCUUGGAUGUUGUGGUGGAAAGUUUUUUCGGUGUGGGAUGAGCUCGCGGCCUAUCAGCUUGUUGGUGGGGUAAUGGCCUACCAAGGCGUCGACGGGUAGCCGGCCUGAGAGGGUGUACGGCCACAUUGGGACUGAGAUACGGCCCAGACUCCUACGGGAGGCAGCAGUGGGGAAUAUUGCACAAUGGGCGCAAGCCUGAUGCAGCGACGCCGCGUGGGGGAUGACGGCCUUCGGGUUGUAAACUCCUUUCGCUAGGGACGAAGCGUUUUGUGCCGGUACCCGGAGAAGAAGCACCGGCUAACUACGUG
Molecule: ribosomal RNA, 467 nt
Filed under: uncultured bacterium
Lineage: Bacteria
Description: partial 16S ribosomal RNA
Rfam family: Bacterial small subunit ribosomal RNA
Source: RNAcentral